GAUGAACGCUGGCGGCGUGCUUAACACAUGCGAGUCGAACGAAGCACUUUAUUUGAUUUCCUUCGGGACUUAUUAUUUUGUGACUGAGUGGCGGACGGGUGAGUAACGCGUGGGUAACCUGCCUUGUACAGGGGGAUAACAGUUGGAAACGGCUGCUAAUACCGCAUAAGCGCACGGCAUCGCAUGAUGCAGUGUGAAAAACUCCGGUGGUAUAAGAUGGACCCGCGUUGGAUUAGCUAGUUGGUGAGGUAACGGCCCACCAAGGCGACGAUCCAUAGCCGACCUGAGAGGGUGACCGGCCACACUGGGACUGAGACACGGCCCAAACUCCUACGGGAGGCAGCAGUGGGGAAUAUUGCACAAUGGGCGAAAGCCUGAUGCAGCGACGCCGCGUGAGCGAAGAAGUAUUUCGGUAUGUAAAGCUCUAUCAGCAGGGAAGAUAAUGACGGUACCUGACUAAGAAGCACCGGCUAAAUACGUG
Molecule: ribosomal RNA, 481 nt
Filed under: uncultured bacterium
Lineage: Bacteria
Description: partial 16S ribosomal RNA
Rfam family: Bacterial small subunit ribosomal RNA
Source: RNAcentral